This 73-nucleotide transfer RNA is filed under the name Ipomoea nil (Japanese morning glory). It matches the Rfam family "tRNA". From Rfam's summary of the family: Transfer RNA (tRNA) molecules are approximately 80 nucleotides in length. Their secondary structure includes four short double-helical elements and three loops (D, anti-codon, and T loops). Lineage: Eukaryota; Viridiplantae; Streptophyta; Magnoliopsida; Solanales; Convolvulaceae. The record is from Rfam by way of RNAcentral.
GUCGUUGUAGUAUAGUGGUGAGUAUCCCCGCCUGUCACGCCGGGAGACCCGGGUCCGAUCCCCGGCAACGGCG